CACUCUCAUUUUUCUCUAAAAUCUCCAAAAUACCCCUGUAACGUCUCUCUUUUACAAAAUGGAAUCCUCGAGUAACAAAAAGCGACUCCGUUCCGACUCGGACGAGUCCGAGUUCAACUCACCGGAGGCCAAGAGAAUCCGAGACGACCUUCUCGACACUCUAGACGACUCCGACGUGUGCACCGUCGGUGACGACCUCGACUCGUUCAUAAAAAGCUUCGAAGACGAAAUAUCUCCUCCGCCGGAGACACUCGACCAGGCCUCCGAGUCCGGCGACUCUCGCCCGGAUCUCGAGUUUCUCCUCGAGGCAUCCGACGACGAACUCGGACUCCCUCCGACGGAGAC
Molecule: long non-coding RNA, 345 nt
Filed under: Lactuca sativa (garden lettuce)
Lineage: Eukaryota; Viridiplantae; Streptophyta; Magnoliopsida; Asterales; Asteraceae
Description: long non-coding RNA (LSAT_LNC002371)
Source: RNAcentral